UGGGGAAUAUUGCACAAUGGGCGCAAGCCUGAUGCAGCCAUGCCGCGUGUAUGAAGAAGGCCUUCGGGUUGUAAAGUACUUUCAGCGGGGAGGAAGGGAGUAAAGUUAAUACCUUUGCUCAUUGACGUUACCCGCAGAAGUAGCACCGGCUAACUCCGUGCCAGCAGCCGCGGUAAUACGGAGGGUGCAAGCGUUAAUCGGAAUUACUGGGCGUAAAGCGCACGCAGGCGGUUUGUUAAGUCAGAUGUGAAAUCCCCGGGCUCAACCUGGGAACUGCAUCUGAUACUGGCAAGCUUGAGUCUCGUAGAGGGGGGUAGAAUUCCAGGUGUAGCGGUGAAAUGCGUAGAGAUCUGGAGGAAUACCGGUGGCGAAGGCGUCCCCCUGAACGAAGACUGACGCUCAGGUGCGAAAGCGUGGGGAGCAAACAGG
RNAcentral lists this ribosomal RNA (429 nucleotides) under Chloroflexota bacterium. Its description in RNAcentral is "Chloroflexi bacterium partial 16S ribosomal RNA". It matches the Rfam family "Bacterial small subunit ribosomal RNA", at positions 355 to 776 of the family's 1533-position model. Lineage: Bacteria; Bacillati; Chloroflexota. The record is from RNAcentral.